Parelaphostrongylus tenuis is the source of this 74-nucleotide non-coding RNA. The record is from the annotation of a GenBank genome assembly. Lineage: Eukaryota; Metazoa; Nematoda; Chromadorea; Rhabditida; Metastrongylidae.
GGCGUCGGUAGUGCAAUUGGUUAAGCGUGCGCCUGUAAAAGGUGAGACACAGGUUCGAGUCCUGGUUGACGCCA